GAUGAACGCUGGCGGCGUGCUUAAUACAUGCAAGUCGAACGGAAAGGCCAUGAUUUUGUGGGUCGCUCGAGUGGCGAACGGGUGAGUAACACGUGAGUAACCUGUCCUUGACAUUCUGGUAACUUCAGGAAAAUGGGGCUCUUACCGGAUAGGAGAUCUUGCUGCACGGUGGGGGUUGGAAAGUUUCGGCGGUUGGGGAUGGAUUCGAGGCUUAUCAGCUUGUUAGUGGAGGAGUGGCUUACCAAGGCUGUGACGGCUAGGCGACCUGAGAGGGUGGCCGGCGACAUGGGGACUGAGAUACGGCGCAGUCGCGUACGGGAGGCAGCAGUGGAGAAUAUGGCACAGUGGGCGGAAGCCUGAGGCAGCAACGCCGCGUGCGGGAUGACGGGCUUUGGGGUGUAAACCGCUUUCUCCUGUGACAAAGCGUGAGUGACGGUAAUGGGUAAAAAAGCACCGGCUAACUACGUG
Molecule: ribosomal RNA, 468 nt
Filed under: uncultured bacterium
Lineage: Bacteria
Description: partial 16S ribosomal RNA
Rfam family: Bacterial small subunit ribosomal RNA
Source: RNAcentral